Molecule: ribosomal RNA, 443 nt
Filed under: uncultured bacterium
Lineage: Bacteria
Description: partial 16S ribosomal RNA
Rfam family: Bacterial small subunit ribosomal RNA
Source: RNAcentral
CCUACGUGAGGCAGCAGUGGGGAAUAUUGGGCAAUGGGCGAAAGCCUGACCCAGCAAUGCCGCGUGAAUGAAGAAGGUCUUAGGAUUGUAAAAUCCUGUUCUAUGGGAAGAAAAAAAUGACGGUACCAUAGGAGGAAGCCCCGGCCAACUACGUGCCAGCAGCCGCGGUAAUACGUAGGGGGAAAGUGUUGUCCGGAAUUACUGGGCGUAAAGAGAGCGUAGGCGGCACUACAAGUCUCAUGUGAAAUACCCGGGCUUAACUUGAGAGUUGCAUGGGAAACUGUAGAGCUUGAGUGCGGGAGAGGCAGGCGGAAUUCCUGGUGUAGCGGUGAAAUGCAUAGAUAUUAAGAGGAACACCAGUGGCGAAGGCGACUUGCUGGACUGAAACUGACGCUGAGGCUCGAAAGCGUGGGGAGCAAACAGGAUUAGAUACCCUUGUAGUC